GACGAACGCUGGCGGCGUGCUUAACACAUGCAAGUCGAACGAAGAGCGACGGAAGCUUGCUUCUAUCAAUCUUAGUGGCGAACGGGUGAGUAACGCGUAAUCAACCUGCCCUUCAGAGGGGGACAACAGUUGGAAACGACUGCUAAUACCGCAUACGAUCUAACCUCGGCAUCGAGGAUAGAUGAAAGGUGGCCUCUACAUGUAAGCUAUCACUGAAGGAGGGGAUUGCGUCUGAUUAGCUAGUUGGAGGGGUAACGGCCCACCAAGGCGAUGAUCAGUAGGUCUGAGAGGAUGAACGGCCACAUUGGGACUGAGACACGGCCCAGACUCCUACGGGAGGCAGCAGUGGGGAAUCUUCCGCAAUGGACGAAAGUCUGACGGAGCAACGCCGCGUGAGUGAUGACGGCCUUCGGGUUGUAAAGCUCUGUUAAUCGGGACGAAAGGCCUUCUUGCGAAUAGUGAGAAGGAUUGACGGUACCGGAAUAGAAAGCCACGGCUAACUACGUG
This 507-nucleotide ribosomal RNA is filed under the name uncultured bacterium. RNAcentral describes it as "partial 16S ribosomal RNA". It matches the Rfam family "Bacterial small subunit ribosomal RNA", at positions 28 to 507 of the family's 1533-position model. The record is from RNAcentral.